Long non-coding RNA from Pogonomyrmex barbatus (red harvester ant), 2708 nucleotides. The record is from RefSeq and is a predicted model, not a curated record. Lineage: Eukaryota; Metazoa; Arthropoda; Insecta; Hymenoptera; Formicidae.
AAAUAUAAUCAUAAUGUGAUCAAUAUAUAAUAUUAUAUAGUUCAAUAUUAUUACAAGCUUCCCAGUGAGAUAUCGAUGAAUCCGGGGAGCAUCAAGUGAGAUCUAUUACAGAUGAUUCCUGAGGAUGAACACAAUGAAGCAAGAGCGUGACACAAAAAUUGAAGCUCGACCGGAAAGAUGACUCGAUAUGUAAAUUGCCGCAUAAGAAGAAGUCUCCGAGGAACCGACCCACUUAAGAUCAUCAGCCGGAAACCUAGCUAACUCAGAAAUAAGUGCCAUUUCAGAUCCACACUCAUAAAAAGUAGCUAGUACGAGAUCUUGCAUGUAUCGUGAUCUAUUGGCGUUGACUUGUAUUAUUUUCAUUAUUAAUGUCAGUAGUACCUUCACCAAUAUUAUCCAUAGACAUAAAUGCUUCUGGAGUACAUGUAACGUUGGUUGAACUAUUUGAAGACUAGUUUCUCAAAGUGAUCAAAGGACCAGGAGAACGAGGAGGACAAUCUUCACUACCGGCUCGAUGAUCAUGCGGUCUGGCAGCCUUCCGACACAAAGGUCAAUCCGGACGUCUCUUACAUUCUUUAAGUUUAUGCGAUGGAUCACCACAAUUGAAACAAGAACUAGCACGGUCAAUUAAGCUAGUAUAACGGUGCCAGGUAUGUCCCCUGGCGAAACAUCUGAAGCAUUUGGCAGGCCUAGAUAAUAAUUCUACCUUCACCGAGUUCAUCUAAUCAAGGUUGAUUACCUCAAGGUUUGAUAUUUUUAUUGCUGCGACUAACAAACAUUGAAGCCAUAUGACCCCAAGACCAUUCCUAGCAAGUCGAAUGGGACCACAGCGAACAUCAUCAAAAGAACAUCUGGUAAGAUUCAUUAUUUUCUGGAUUAUUUCAACUUUGACAGAAUCAUCGAACCCGCUCAUUCUAAUAUCCGCCAUUUUAUUUGUUAAUAUUAACAUUUGAAUCAUUAAUUAUUUCUUUCAUUUUUCUAGCAAGAUCAUCAGCCUUAAAUCCCGAUUAGAAUCUUCGCCUCUAACUUCUAGGAUGAAUCCACCUAAUAAGAUUCUCAUAUCCUCAAUGUUAAAACCUUUCAACGGUAUUUCCUUCCUGGCUUUGCUGAGAAUCGACGCGUAUGUGGACCCUCCGCUAUGACAGUUACAGCUGUUAAAUUGGGUGAAAUUUGCGCUUACCACCCGAAGUACCAGAGAGAGGCACGUGAAAUUGUCUAAAAGGCAUUUUCGAUAAUAUUGCAUCAAAAUUUCUAGGCGCCACUUAACAUCAAAAACCGAAGUGUGUUCAACAAUAACAGCAGGAGAAUCCAAGAUCGGAGAGCUACUUCUCACAGGUAAUCGGAUAGGCUCUGCAUGAGAAUCUUUUAUGUCCAGCAGCGUCCUCCAUAGUGUGAGUAAAGUACUGAGCAAACUCAUUAAUAAUUUUAUUUUUAUCUUUUAGAACAACAACGGAUCCAAUGAAUCCGACACAACAGAAGGAGUCAAUAGAAGAAGGCCAACCAUUCUAUGAGAAGGAGAAAUCACCCGACAAGCCCCAUCAAUUCUGAGAGGGACAGCAAAAUCCAUAACCCCAUGCAUACGCUACACACUUCGAAUUGCAGAACUCGCAGCUUCAACUAGUAUAUUGCACUUAUGCCUACUAAUAUCUUCUCUAAGCUUCUUAAUAAUGUCCUUCAAUUCUUUAUUCUCUUCCCUAAUCCUGUUCAUUUCUUCUCGCAUUUCAGCCAUUUGCUUCCUAUAAUAUUCAUUAUUUCCAUCUCUAUUAGUCGAAGCUCUAAUCACAAGCUCUUCAACAUUACAUUUAAUAGACACAAAGUUCACCUAUAUCUUGCCACUAAUAAUAUCUUGCAGUGAUUCCGAACCUGUUCUUAGUGCAUCAGUCUCCGUAACCCAAUGACACGGACCGCAGCUGCUGUCGCCGAAAGAUCCUUCAAUUCAUUGACUCUAUCCGCGACUUCAUCUUUCUGAACCGGGGUGAGUCUAUUUCUAUCAGCAUCAGCAGGCAAAGAUUUCAUUUUUCUCUUUCUAGAUCGCUUUGUAAACAAAGGAGAAUGAUCAAACUUCCUAAUAUUCGAUAUCAAAUGCGUCGCGAUUCAAUUCCAUCUUCAUUAGAAUCGUCAAUGACGAUAGAACUGCCUGCAGCAGUAUCAAUAAUACCACAUGAGGUAGAUGCUUUGUCACGUUCAACAAACAAAGAAAAGUACGUUCUCCUAAUGAAGAUAUGUUUGUUUCAGAACUGUUGACAUUCCAAACUAAAACUGCCCAACGGAGGACUCUUUCGUUCGAAAUAAUUCUAGGAUGCACAUCCUCUGCAGUCAAGUCAAUAGCCACAUCAGUUGUUCCCCUACCAGUUGACGAGGCCCCAGCGGCAAGGACAGACCUACCAGGGUCAUGAUCCUCUCGGGAAGUACUCCCAAGAGGAUAUUCUCAAUUUCAUGCCCGUUGCUGGAGGACCGAGAUUAUAUUCUCAAUUUCAUGCCCGUUGCUGGACGACCGAGUCGGAACCAAGCUAAUCCCCCCCCCCUCUGCCAUUCCCCAGGUGUCCGAGUCCCUGAGGAUGAUAAAUCCUUCUUCUAUUCCAUAUCCAUUCCAUAUCCAUGAGUAAUUGGUUUUUUUUACAGAAAUUGCUGUCUACUGUCCCGCCAUACAACGCAGAUUGGGAAAUUCUAUGCAGUUCAUCAACCAAAAUAAUCCGUCUGGCAGAAAA